This 702-nucleotide long non-coding RNA is filed under the name Brassica rapa (field mustard). RNAcentral's name for it is "long non-coding RNA (BRAP_LNC002304)". Lineage: Eukaryota; Viridiplantae; Streptophyta; Magnoliopsida; Brassicales; Brassicaceae. The record is from RNAcentral.
AAAAAUCGCAUAAAACACUCUCAAAGUGUCACUUACUAUCACUUUAAACCUUAAUUUUUUUUUUCACAAACACUUUUAAUCUUCAAACUGUAUUUGUAUUAUAAAAAAAUGACCAAUAGUACAGGUAAAAGGAUGAUGUGUCAAUUUUUUCAAUUAUUUAAUUAAUAAAAUAAACAAAAAAUUAAAUAAAAUUCAGAUUUUUUUAAAAAAAUUGUUAAUUUAAAUAAAAUUUAAUAAACAUUCAGAUUAUUUUUAAAGUUCAGAAAAUAAAAUAAAUAUUAAUAAAAUUUAAAAAAAUAGCUAAAAAGAAAAGAAAAAAAUUAAUAAGACCAAAUUAAAAUCCAGGAAAAAAAUUGAAAAUUGAAAAUUGAAAAUUGAAAAUUGAAAAGUUCAAAAUAGUUUUUUUUUUGUCAUUUUCAACGAUGAUGUCGGAAACUAUAAUUAGAGAUAUGCCAAAAACGUCACUGUUAAUGCUUAAGUAAAAAACCACCAUUAAUUGUUAUAAGUUAUAUCUGAAAUUGUUAUUGUAAACAAUGAUAUGAUAUUUUUUUAAAAAAAAUAGUGUAAUUUAUAAUAAAAAUAUUUUGAUUUUUGAAGGUUAAACGUGUUUUUGAGGGUUUUUUAUAAGAUUCUCUCUAUUCAUAUAUCUCUUACCUAAAAGAUAAAGAGAAAAAGACCAAAAUAGCACUAAAUCAAGUUUUU